GGGGGAACCCCAUCAAACUUGGAUUUUGUAAGUAGUUGCGAAUGAACACAAAUUUGAUCACUUUGGCAAUCUGUACACAUUGCUGUGUAACAAUUUGUAUACGUUGGCACAGUGCUAUCAAAGCUGCAUGCAAGUGUUUUUUGAAAGGAUACAACAUGGGAUGUGAUAUUCAUGUGUGUGUGCCUGCUUUGUCCACAGCCUGUGCUGUAUGAAUCACAUUUCUUGCAACUGAAAUGCUAAUGGCAUGGUAAAGUUCAUGUGACAUGACACAAGCUUGAGAUUCAUGAUGUGCAAGUACCAUGAGGGAAAUGUGAAAAGGACUUUGGAAAGAGAAUUAAAUAAAGCCUGCAUUUGCUGACAAUGAAAGCAAGUGUGGAUGUUCAUGUAAUUGUUACUGCAUCAAUCAAUGUUCAUCUUGGUUACUGCAUGCUUUAUAUUACAGCUCAGAACAUGAAGUGUGUGUAACAGCUCUGCUUUGAUUUUUCCCACAUGGGAUCAGUUGAAACAUUGUGAGAGCACUCUUCAGUUUCCUUAUGUACCCACCAGCUUUGUCCACUCGCGUGUUGGCACACAUGUAAUGAUGAUGUGUUUAUGCAAGAUACUUCUGUGCUCAACAACAUGUUGUCAUCUCAUCCUC
Molecule: ribosomal RNA, 637 nt
Filed under: Ostreopsis ovata
Lineage: Eukaryota; Dinophyceae; Peridiniales; Ostreopsidaceae
Description: eukaryotic LSU rRNA
Rfam family: Eukaryotic large subunit ribosomal RNA
Source: RNAcentral